GCGGGUUUAGCUCAGUUGGGAGAGCGUCAGACUGAAGUCAAACUUCUUCAUCCACCUCGUCAAAGGGUAUCUGAAGGUCGUGUGUUCGAUCCACACAAACCGCA
This is a non-coding RNA of Rhypophila decipiens, 104 nucleotides long. The record is from the annotation of a GenBank genome assembly. NCBI's taxonomy places the organism in Eukaryota, Fungi, Ascomycota, Sordariomycetes, Sordariales, Naviculisporaceae.